CCUGCCCUCCAGCAGUUGCAGGAGUGGCUGCUGGGUUACAUGUAUAUCAGCAGGUAGCAGAGAGGAGAGAGGCUAUGUCUACACUCAGGGGUCAGACCUAGAAACAUCUCAGUAGUUAGUAGCCUAACAUA
Molecule: non-coding RNA, 131 nt
Organism: Arvicanthis niloticus (Nile rat)
Lineage: Eukaryota; Metazoa; Chordata; Mammalia; Rodentia; Muridae
Source: RefSeq, a predicted model, not a curated record